AUGAACAUCCAUCCAAGGACCUCACGCACGAAGGAGAGCCGCCCUUGGUGGCUGCUUCAAGAAAAAGACGACGCGCCUAGGGGUGCAAACCAGGGGAGCGCGGCGGUGCCCUCGCACACACGAGUAUGGAUGAGGAGGAAGCAGUCCGUCCUUUUCUUCUUUUUUUAUGUACAGGUGUGGAGGUGGUGGAUAACACAUCCAAAAGAGAUGGCAGCGAACGAUGUGACACUCGUCUUCUACCAAGUGCAACGGAGGCGGUGGAUGGCUCGCCCAGUGGAGAUAACUCGGGAGCAGCCGGAGCUUCCCAACAACAUAGCCCAGCCUCUAGCUCCUUUGCAGGUCUACAAUGUAAGCGCACAGGACCAUGACCAACAGGUCCAUGGUGAACAGGUCCAUGGUGAACGGGACGCCGGCGUAUAG
RNAcentral lists this ribosomal RNA (420 nucleotides) under Triticum aestivum (bread wheat). Its description in RNAcentral is "partial small subunit ribosomal RNA". The record is from RNAcentral. Lineage: Eukaryota; Viridiplantae; Streptophyta; Magnoliopsida; Poales; Poaceae.